RNAcentral lists this ribosomal RNA (403 nucleotides) under bacterium. RNAcentral's name for it is "partial 16S ribosomal RNA". It matches the Rfam family "Bacterial small subunit ribosomal RNA", at positions 355 to 776 of the family's 1533-position model. The record is from RNAcentral.
UGGGGAAUAUUGCACAAUGGAGGGAACUCUGAUGCAGCGACGCCGCGUGAACGAAGAAGGCUUUCGAGUCGUAAAGUUCUUUUAUAUGGGAAGAUAAUGACGGUACCAUAAGAAGAAGCCCCGGCUAACUACGUGCCAGCAGCCGCGGUAAUACGUAGGGGGCUAGCGUUGUCCGGAAUCACUGGGCGUAAAGGGUUCGCAGGCGGAAAUGCAAGUCAGGUGUAAAAGGCAGUAGCUUAACUACUGUAAGCAUUUGAAACUGCAUAUCUUGAGAAGAGUAGAGGUAAGUGAAAUUUUUAGUGUAGCGGUGAAAUGCGUAGAUAUUAAAAAGAAUACCGGUGGCGAAGGCGACUUACUGGGCUCAUUCUGACGCUGAGGAACGAAAGCGUGGGUAGCAAACAGG